CCAAUAGCGUAUAUUAAAGUUGUUGCAGUUAAAAGGCUCGUAGUUGAAUUUCGGGGUCAGUAGGUUGGUCGUGCCACUGGUAUGUACUGGUCUCACUGAUUCCUCCUUCUUGUAGAACCGUAAUGCCAUUAAUUUGGUGUUGCGGGGAAACAGGACUGUUACUUUGAAAAAAUUAGAGUGUUUAAAGCAGGCUAACGCUUGAAUACAUUAGCAUGGAAUAAUGAAAUAGGACGUUCGAUCCUAUUUUGUUGGUUUCUAGGAUUGACGUAAUGAUUAAUAGGGAUAGUUGGGGGCAUUAGUAUUCAAUUGUCAGAGGUGAAAUUCUUGGAUUUAUUGAAGACUAACUACUGCGAAAGCAUUUGCCAAGGAUGUUUUCAUUAAUCAAGAACGAAAGUUAGGGGAUCGAAGACGAUCAGAUACCGUCGUAGUCUUAACCAUAAACUAUGCCGACUAGGGAUCGGAUGAUGUUAAUUUUUUAAUGACUCAUUCGGCGCCUUACG
This 500-nucleotide ribosomal RNA is filed under the name uncultured Glomeromycotina. Its description in RNAcentral is "partial small subunit ribosomal RNA". It matches the Rfam family "Eukaryotic small subunit ribosomal RNA", at positions 591 to 1092 of the family's 1831-position model. Lineage: Eukaryota; Fungi; Glomeromycota. The record is from RNAcentral.